Molecule: ribosomal RNA, 497 nt
Filed under: uncultured bacterium
Lineage: Bacteria
Description: partial 16S ribosomal RNA
Rfam family: Bacterial small subunit ribosomal RNA
Source: RNAcentral
GAUGAACGCUGGCGGCGUGCCUAAUACAUGCAAGUCGAGCGAACAGACGAGGAGCUUGCUUCUCUGACGUUAGCGGCGGACGGGUGAGUAACACGUGGAUAACCUACCUAUAAGACUGGGAUAACUUCGGGAAACCGGAGCUAAUACCGGAUAAUAUAUUGAACCGCAUGGUUCAAUAGUGAAAGACGGUUUUGCUGUCACUUAUAGAUGGAUCCGCGCUGCAUUAGCUAGUUGGUAAGGUAACGGCUUACCAAGGCAACGAUGCGUAGCCGACCUGAGAGGGUGAUCGGCCACACUGGAACUGAGACACGGUCCAGACUCCUACGGGAGGCAGCAGUAGGGAAUCUUCCGCAAUGGGCGAAAGCCUGACGGAGCAACGCCGCGUGAGUGAUGAAGGUCUUCGGAUCGUAAAACUCUGUUAUUAGGGAAGAACAAAUGUGUAAGUAACUAUGCACGUCUUGAUGGUACCUAAUCAGAAAGCCACGGCUAACUACGUG